UACGUAGGGUGCGAGCGUUAAUCGGAAUUACUGGGCGUAAAGUGUGCGCAGGCGGCAGAGCAAGUCGAGUGUGAAAGCCCCGGGCUUAACUUGGGAAUUGCGCUCGAAACUACUUUGCUGGAGUGUGGCAGAGGAAGGUGGAAUUCCACGUGUAGCGGUGAAAUGCGUAGAGAUGUGGAGGAACACUAAUGGCGAAGGCAGCCUUCUGGGCCAACACUGACGCUCAUGCACGAAAGCGUGGGGAGCAAACAGG
This 253-nucleotide ribosomal RNA is filed under the name uncultured bacterium. RNAcentral's name for it is "partial 16S ribosomal RNA". It matches the Rfam family "Bacterial small subunit ribosomal RNA", at positions 524 to 776 of the family's 1533-position model. The record is from RNAcentral.